CUCAGGAAAAAUAUUAAUCUUUGUAUAAAGGUUAAUGUUAAAUUUCUCUUACUUGAAAACUAGGACGAAGUCUUCGUAACUAGAAAAUUUAAAUUUUAGUUACCAAAAUUAUUGACUAUAUCGAUAUAAAACUAUAUUGACUAUAUCGAAUUAAACGAACUUGAUAAUUUUAGAACUGAAUAUAUUUAUAUUUAUAGCCGAAAAACAAUUAUUUUGAUUAAUCAUGUUAUUCAUAUAAUCGCAAAGUCUAGUGAUAAAUCAAUUGCCAACUUAGAUUUCAGGUAUUUGAAUUCACUAAUUCCAAAAUCUAAAUUUGAUCAAUAGAAUUGAAGUUUUAAAAUAGUUUCAUCGAUAUUUAUCACACUUUUUGGACCAAGCGUAAAUGAACAAGACAACUGUGAUUCCAUCCAUCCACAGUUUCGAUCUUUUCCACGUUUGGAACACGAUGUUUCGAUCAGUCAGGAGCGAGAAGUCACGUUGAUUGGUCGGUUUCUAUCGAAAGUCGGAUCCGGCCAUGACUUUUAUCGCGGCAUGAAUGGGGAACCGUAACGGUGCGACCGGUUCACACGAGGCCAUGUCUCGUCAUUGGGAAUCCACCUGAUGUCGAUGGCCGGUUCUUUCGAAUACGUGUAACGAUUUUACGCGUAAGUAGGUAAUGGUCUCCUUUUCCGAACGCAUAUGCAUCAAAGCUGGUCCGAAGAGGAAUUUAGCUCUUUCUUCUUUGACAUCAACAUUGAUAUCUUGUUUUUUCCACUUUUUCCGCGAUUGAAAAAAACAAAUAAGUCUGGAUAGUAUGAGGAGAAAAUGAAGAAAAUUUGAAGAUAUUUUUUUUGAAAAAUUCUUCAAGAUAAGAAGAGAUAAGAGUAUGGAUGCUUCUCUUGCAUCUGUUUAAAAUUAUUAUUUUUAAUUUUAUAUUCUUCAUAAGAUUGAGAAAAAAUGUUUUUAAUUUUUAUUAAAUUUCUAAUUAUCAAUGAUUAAUUUAAUUUGAUUGAAUGUUGGAUUAUUCGAAAAAUUGUAUUUAUCAGAUAAAAAAGAUUUAUCGUAUCGAGGAACGACAAAGGUGCAAUAAUACUACGGAUUUUGAUUCUGAUGAAGACGUGGGCCAAGAAAGCAGGUCGUGGAACGCGGAAUCGCUCAUCGCGCAUUAAGAGGAUCUUCACUCGGUUUGCUCGUCGCCGGAAGUCGCACAUCGUCCAUAAACCCAAGUCUAGAACGGGCGCAUUCGACCACGUUUAAUUGUUAACUCGACUGUCUUCGUGUACGCCAUUACGUAAUUGAACUUGACAGAAGAAACUAUUUGUAAUUCGUGUUCAUGAUUUCUUUAGAAACAACGCUUUUUUUAAUAAGUGAGCAAUCUACGUAACUUUGUUUUCGUGUAUUCUCUGUUUAUAAAUACAAUUAGAAUUAAUUAUUAUUAAUAUUUAUAAAAUCAAAUUGUGAAAAAUCAUGCUAACUGUAAGUUAAUCAGAACCUAAAUUAUUUAGUAUUAUAGCUUAGUAUUAUAUUCUUUGCAAUUGAUUAGCGUUGCAAUUGAUCUUGUCAAAUUCAUUAAAUUAUAAUGAGUCUAUAGUAUAAGAAGUAGAAAAAAUAAUUAAAAAAAUUUAUUGUAUCUCAAUAGAUUCGAAAGAAAAAAAAAAGAAAAGUACUUUGUAUUAAAGAGUAGAAUUUGAUGAAAAAAACGAAAUUAAAUUAAAUAUUAUCUUUCAGUUAGCUAUGAUAAUAAAUACAUAUUAAUUUUUUUUAUAUUUUUUGAAGAUCAUUAUCAAGAUCUAAUCUUCAAUUUCUAACUUUGUCAUUUUUAAUGUCAAGAGCUUUCUACGGCCUUGAUAAAUUCAUCGAAUAAGUUAGUGCAAGUUUCAGUUUCGAGCAGGCUAAUCACGUUACUUCUUACAGCAUGUCUUCUUCACAGCGGGAAUUACGUUCCGGUUCGCGUUCACGGAACCACCGCUCGUAAUCUAUCCUGUAAAGUGGGUAGAGAAACUUCUGAAACAGCUUCUGUCAUUUCUCAGAGACCUUGAACUAUGCUGCUUCUCGAUAGAAAAGCAACUAUUCGUGUAGCUCGAUAUAAAUUCAACAACGAAAGAAAGAAUCUUAUUCGAAUGGAAUAAAAAAUCUCUCAAAAAUCAAAAAUCGGAGACGUUAAGUUAAAGAAGUUAAAAAGAAGUUAAAAAUAUUUCGAGUUUUAAUCGAUUAUAUGAGGAAAAAAAGGAUAAAUUAAAAAAAAAUGGAAAAUAAGAGUGGAUAAGCAGAAGAUAAAAAACAAGUGAGAAGAUGAGAGGUUAAAAUAAUCGGUCACCAAACGUGCCUUUGACUAUACGGUAUCCUAUCCUACUUGUUACUCGUUGCACGAUCAUUACUUCGUUCCAUACAUCACGUUUCGUCGGUCAUCAUUUUUUUUCUAUUUUUCGAACGAACGAUGAGUAGCUAAUGAGUAUCUUUCGAUAUUAAUCAUAGUUUCAUCAUAGUUUCCUUCUUCUCUUCAACAUAGAAAAAAGGGGAAAUUUGUCUUGCCAUUUCGAAUCUUUUACAUUCUAUUUAUUCAAGAAUAGUCUCACUUCCUGUUUUAAAUUAUUAACUCUCUGUUAUUGGCAAUAGAGAUACGAAAAAUUCAUGAGAGAAAAUUCGAGGGUUGCGUAAAGGAAAUGUAUAAAGAAACUCGACUUCUGUGAAUUAUAAUGUGCAAUGGCAAAAGUGUUUUCAAAGAUUUCGUUGCGGAAUCUCUGUAUGCUAUCUGCAUGCGCUACUUGCUCGACUAUAGUUUUACUCGAUGUACUUACGUGUUACAUUUCACUUUGCUAACUAUUCAGAUUUUUCUCUGAGAGACAUUUUUUUCUACAUUUUCUACGAACAAUGUUUUUUGAUCCUUUUUUUCGAUAUGGAAAAAAUAUUUUUUUGAACAUUUGUACAUUCCUUAUCAUUCUGUUUUCUGAAAACUAAAUACAAAAAGAAAAAAAUUCAUUUCUAUGAAUAUUCCCUCAUAAUCUUUUGCGUUUCAACAGAUGUCUUUAAUCGAUUCUUUGUUGCGCGAUUAUCUGCUAGCACAAGACGAUCUAUUGUAACGAACGGUUCUUUCUUGAUCCAUAUGCUCCGUUUUUUUGCUCCAGUUAAUCGACACGCGAUUAAUCAAUUCCACGGUUCGUCGAUCACGCUGAUUACGAGCGCGACUGAGAAAUCAUGAAUUUUCACCAUUAGCGAUCAGAUUCUUUGAUUUAUUUUAUAUUUUAAUCCUUCUUAAUAUUUCACUUUCACUGAAAUAACGAUUCAAUCGCAUCGAAAUUAAUUGUUUUUAUAGAAAACAUUGAUAUAUUUAUAAUCAUUCCAGAAAGCGCAAUAAAUAUAAUAAUGCUUAAAAUUGUUAAAAUUCAAGAGAUAUAACAGUAGAUAAAUUUUUGCUUAAUCGAUAAUAUAUACUCGUUGGAAUAUCAUGAAAAAAUAAUAAUUAAUUUUAAUUUUAAUUUCUACGUUCAACAAGGAUGGAUGAAAAAUCAGUGGUGAUUGGAUAAAUAACAUUUCCAAGAUGGUAACCUGUUCCUCGAACAGGAAUUCGUAUAUUACCUAAGACAGGUUUAAAGUACAAUAUUCGUAAAAAAAAAUUUUCUGAAAAUGAUUAGAUUGUGGACAUAUCGAAGAAUCAUAAUAUAUAAUGAACGAUUUUUUAUCAUUCAUUAAUAGUUCGUCAUUCAGCUGCUUAUUUCAUAAAAAAAUCUAUAAGUUUGAUUUUUUUUUCGAUGCUUCGUUUUUAAUAUUUCACAAUUUUGAAUUUUUAUUUUUUUUCUCGUAAAUGAUUGUUGCACAAAAUUCAAGAUCUAUAGAUUGAACUUCAAAUCGUGAAAUCAUGAAUAAGUUCAUAAUUCGUCCUCAUCGAUGCUAUUACGAUACUGAAUUCGCAAUCGUACUAUUUAUCAUGAUAUUGUUAAAUAGUGAAAAAAUAGCCGAAGGACAUUAAAAAAGAAUUUGUAAGAUUUCACGAUGAGAUUUGAUUCUGAUUAUAUGUACCUUUAGUACAGAGUUAUUUCCGUUUUUUUUUCUUUUUUUUUUUUUUAUCUUCAUCGAAUAACAUAAACAAAAUUAAAUUAGCGCGGAAUUUCUAAAUUUCACCAGAAAAAUUUCGGCCUUUUCUAUGAAAAAUUUUUUCUUAAUUAGAAAUCAAAUCGUCGGUUUAUCCAUAGCCGCAAUUAUUGUUCACGCUAUUGAAACUUGAAAGCGAUGCAUUCAGUAAAUAAAUAUCCAUUUAUAUUUCUCACUGUUACGCGUAUAAAUACACUUCUUAACUCGUCGAAAUCAUUUUGACUGCUUUUGCGAGAAAAAAAUAUCUUUAUUUUGACGUAGAAUUGAAUCGCAUUUGUGCUUUCACUCUAUUACUUCGCCCUUUCUCUAACACGAAUAAAGCUGAAAUAACAGGAUCAGCCGCAAAUAUUUCGUGUUGCAAUCGAUUCGUCUAUUUUGCAGCAUGUUUAGAGACUAUAACAGUUCGAUACUCUGAUUUCGAUAUUCUAUAUUUUUACCAACUUACAAAAAAUCGUAAAUUGAUCAAAGCAUACUUUCAAAGAUUUAAAAGACAUUAAAUGUAUAUAGUAUCUCGAAGUAGGCGGAUCUUUGUAAUUUAAUUUAAACAUAUUCAUGAUAUACAAGACAAGACGUUUCUCUUUUUAUGAAAUUACUAUUUCCUAUACUAUGACUACACAUUUCAAAUAGAAAUAAAAUAUAGUAUAAUAAUCUCGAACGAUCGCUGUUAUGCGGGCAUCAAAGUUUCCAAGCGUCAACUGGUUAGAAAUACGUUUUCACGACUUUAACAGUUGUAUUAUCAUUUGCAUAUAAUUAAAUAAAUACCCGCAGUCAUUUAUAUUACUAUAAAUAUAGAUACGCAAAUUUUAUAACGAUUUAAAAUUUUUUAUCGUAAAAUUACUUUUCUCUGCAACGUUUUUCAAAGAUAUUUUUAAUCGAAAAAAUAAAAAAAUAAAGAAUAAUCAUCCAUGCUUUUUCUACUAGAAAUUGCUUCACCUACAAAUCGACGUUUUCGGAUACUCAAACCGAAAAAUGUACCAUAUCCUUUUCGAAUUAACUCGCAAUGCACGAGGAGAGAGUCACGAGGCGCUUGUUUGUCGUUGUUGUCGAAAUGACAGUUUCCACCGAUGCAUUCUUUCUUUUCUCGUCCGUUAAGCAUCGAACAUUUCGUCCCAUUGUUCUUGCGUGGCCGAGAAUAACGCAAGAAAGCCGAUCGAGGGAAAGUUGGGCGAGCAGGUUGGAAAAUGAAACGCUUUUGGCAAAUAGAGCGGCGGUGCACCGAUAACUUAAUUAACGUGCCCCGCGGGACAUCGGUGUCCAGUGACCAUUAAGUGAAAGUCGAGAAACAAUGAGGCGGGAAGCUCUGUGACUCGGAUUUAAUCACGGUAAUUACCAUUAACGACGAUGCUUCGCGUUUUUUAUCUGAAUCGCGUGGAACUUGAGGCGGAAUUGGAAAUGUGGACACGAUAAAAAGGUGAAACGAUCCACGAGCAGGAAGUUGGUGGUAGAGAUUUUAAAUCGUACGCCGAUCAUUGUUUUUCGAGCACCGAUGAACAGGUUAUGUAGAUGAUACUGGAGGAUAGCAUUGUGAUGUUGUUGUUGCCGUAACAAAGAUAUCAAGGGGACCGGGAUCGUGUUAGGAAUAUAAAGGAAGGAAUAUACGUUCACUCGCAUAUUUAUAGUACCGUUAACCAGGUUACUUCGCCAAGUACAGCGUUUAUGAGACUUUGGAGAUCCCCAUUAGUCUGCGGUUUACCUGUGCGGUAAUUUCGCAACAUGCUCUUGCUUCCUUCGUUCUUAGACUCGGUUUGUACCAUACUUUUAUCACGCGAUAGUAAUCGAGAUAACACGCAUCCAUGCUUCGUUAUGUCGAUGAAAUGAAUAUCGUGGCAAUUAGUUAAUUGGUUACAAAGCAACUUUUCGUCGUGACACCCGUUAUAGCGUCAUGUUUGACCGUUUGACCAGAUACACCGAUACUUUCUUUUCCUUGGUAGGAAAGGAUUAUUUCGUGAUUGGAAUCGAGAAUCUUGUAUCCAAUCCAUUUUUGAUUUUCCUUCGGUUAUCACGUGUAUGUAAAAAAAUAUUGUAAUUAAAUAAUAUAAAGAGAUUUUGAUGUAAAUCGAAAGCAACUCCAAAAAAUUAUUAAAAAUUGAAAUAUAAAGAAUUAGGAAGGAUUAUUUUGUAAAAAUAAAUUGUGUAUUUAAUGCUUUUUUUUAAUGUCGAAUAAAAAAAAUUUUAUAAUCAAU
Molecule: long non-coding RNA, 6251 nt
Organism: Apis cerana (Asiatic honeybee)
Lineage: Eukaryota; Metazoa; Arthropoda; Insecta; Hymenoptera; Apidae
Source: RefSeq, a predicted model, not a curated record